UUUAUUUACUGGGAGUGAUUUUUAAAGAUCACACUGACUGCCUUAACAUUGCUUCUUCUGAGUAAUGCACUCAUGGAGAAUCACUGUUUUUACUUAUCAUUGUAUUUCACAGACUGGAAAUACACACUUCUGGUAUCUGAGUGGAUGUGGGACAUAGAGUGUUGCUUGAGUAUUUAUUUACUUUGCAUGUAUUGUGUUGGUAAGUUAUUUUGCUCAGUAUGUAGGAUUUAACCAGUGGCAGAUUAAAACUGACAUAUAGGCCAGUAGAUCCUAUGUAGAUGUAAUAUCACAGCAAUUGUUUUAAGUCAUUACUUGGUCCUUUUUUUUUUUUUUUUUUUUUUUUUUUUUUUAUUAUUCUUUUGAUAAAAUUAUCUGGUUAAAAUUUUCGAAUCUUGAGUUAUUCCUCUGGUGGAAUGAUCGAUGGUGGAGUCAUCCCUCUGUGAACCAAACCUGUUUAUUAGAAAGUUCAUUGCCCCAUUUCUCUGAGUAGAAGUGAAAUCAAACAGCCCAAGCCAGUUUCUCACCUCCUAGAACACAGAUACUUUCCAGACAGCACAUUUGCUGUCUCUCCACAGAUGCAGGGAGAUGCAUCCACUUGGCAUGACUGUCCUGUUCCCAGAUGAGACAAGGACUAGGUUUUCAGGCAACAUGAAGAAGGCAAACAUCCAUGCGCCUCUCCUGGCCUGUCUUCAGCCAGAGCGCUCAGCUUUUUAGGGAAGAUAUGGAAGAAUAAAGAAGUACUGUUGUUACAGGAUGCACUCCAGCUGGAAUAAUGUAAGUUUUUAGGCAUGCAAGCUCUUCCUUAGCAACUUGUUCAUCCUAUAAACCUUACAGUCCAUUGUGGCUUCAACCACAUCCAUUUUACACAUAGUCUUAUGGCCAGAACAAUACUUAGUGAAAAGAAUUAAAAUUACUGCUGGCUCUGGCUUUGUUUUGGCUGAAAAUAUGUCUGUGUUUUGAAUUUUUUAGACUGAAGUUACUGAACUCCCUUGUAGAUGUAGUUAAAAAUGUGAUGGAUGGUUACCUUUAAUGUAGAAUAGGGGUUACUUGUAGGAAUUUAAGCUUGAAUUCAUCACUUUUUGUUCAGAGCUGAAACUCCUGGAUCUCAUUAGACGAAUCUCUGACUCUCACUGAAAUAGCCAUUGCUUCAUAAUUUGCUGAAUUUAGCUAUACUCUGUUGUUUUUGUAAUAUAUCACUCUUAACCAGUGUGCAUUUCUGUUUGGUCUUGAAGCAAAUUGCUUUCCUGCAUAGAAGGCAUUGCUAAAACUUGCCAGAAAGACAAGGUGUUUCUCUCAUUUAAACCCAGUUCUUGAGUUUUUAGAGGCAAGCUGUGAGAGGAGUUGCAUGGGGCCCUUCUUUGCACAGAUACCUCCUGCACACUUCCCGUUACUUUUUCUUUAAUUCCACUGAAACUUCUUUUUCACUGCAGUCCUAGAGUUGUCAGUCAUGUAAGUAGCCCAUGUGACUUCAAAGCAACAUUUUGAAAAGGAAAAGUUAUCUGAAUGGUGAAGUGAUGUAAAUUAGUCUUGUGAAGAGUGAUGCUGUUUUUUGUCCCUUUCUGUGAAUUCUGAAGUGCAUAUGCUUUAGCACUGAGAAAUUAUUUUAUGUGAUACAUGCUAAGAUUGUCAUCUGUACUAUGUCACAUACAGUGUGUGUUUACUUAGGUGUUUUAUCCUUCCUUUUGCUCCAGAAAAUAUGUACCUAUAUUUCUACAGCUCUGCGAGCUGACAUUUCUUUCUGAACAGCUAUGCGAAGAAUUUGUUUAAAUUUUCCAUCUUUUUUUACCUCAUCCCUUAAAAAAUGAUCCUCCACAAUCCCUAUUCUGUUCUUCAAUGACAGUUUAUUCUUAGGAUUGUUUAAAAAUUUUUUGUGCUAAUUUCAUAAUCUUCUGUGAAAUCUUUCACCGUUUUGCUCUCCUUAUCUGUUUUUCAGUCUUCUGCUUUAUUAAUUUUUUGUUUCCUUUCAUUGUUUAGGAGUCCUUUUUGAUUGUUUUUUCUGUAAUUUCCUUUUGCAUCACUGUUAACCAUUUACUAUUCUUGAACGUUUGGAAUUAGUUAUAAGGUAGUCCUCAGUGCACUUUUUACGUCACUUUACUUUCUAUUUUUAUUACAUUGCUAUGCUACAGCUUAGCUCCCACUGUAAACACUUAGAUGUAUCAAGGUGAUAAUCAAAGUCUACUUUUUUUUUUUCUAUCUCUUUCCAAUUCUAAGUAGAGAUUUUACAAUGAUAAAUAAAAAUUCUUUAAAAGCUUUGCUUUAUAUAUACGUAUGUAUAUAUAAAUUAGAUAGAGAGAUGUAUGUCUGUCCUUGUAGAAAAGUAAAGAAAAUGAAUUCCUAAGUCUGAGGGUCAGUUUCUUCUCCUUAUUAAAUCUCUACUAGAAUGCCACACUUGGGUAUUUUAAUGACUAUACAAAGAUUUUUCCACACUAUGUUUAUUUAUUCUCAUAAUCACUGAUCAGUGACGGUAAUCUCAAACCCUGAGCCUUUUUUCAUUUCAUUUUCUCCCCCUCUUCCUUUGAGUAGGAGUAACAGGAGAAUGAUGUAGUAGUUUAGCUGCACAUCAGGGUGAAAUCACCACAACUGGUAGUAGAGAUACUUCAAAUGCGGUCACAGACCCUCUUUUAAGAAGACAUCAACACUGAUAAAGGGUACAACUCCUGCUGUGAUGCAAGAAUGAAGAACAAACCUGCAAAUGAAAGAAAGCAGAAGAGACAUCAUAAAAUAAAAAUAUUUGAAAGUGGAGACUUGCACUAAAACAGCACAUAUGGUAAAAAAUUGUUCAGUUCUGAAAAUACGGGAGAAAGAAUACUGCAAAUCUAUUUUACAGGAACAGAUUAAAUAAAACAAUUGUAGUUAUUUUUGAUUUUCUGAUGGAAAAUGAUAAAAGAGAAUUUUUUUAGCAGGCUAAUUAUUAUUAUUAUUAUUUUUAAUCUGCUAAGCUUUGUUUUUAUAGGAACUGCAAUGCUUUUGUCAAACAAAAUCUUUCAGUGUGUUGUGACUAUCUGAGUGCUAUCAUUUUUACUUUCUUGUCUCUCCAUCUUUUUUUUUAUUCUAUGUAGGCUUAAAAUAGAAAUGGAAAGCAAGCAUAAACUAAUACUUCAAAAUGUUUCUUUUUUACAAACACUUAUUAUCUAUGGAAGACUUUUUAAAACAAUGAACACACUAUAUUCCAUUAGCAGUGUUUUACUUUAGUUGAACCGUCUGACUUGCUAUCACUUAUUACAUAAACAGCUUAACAGGUUAAAAAGGAAAAGAGAGAAAAACAGGCAACAUCUUAUCAAGAAGACAGCUGGUUGUCUCUGCCAUCAGAAUAAUGGACUAAUUUUUCAGUUCACUGAAAUAAUAUAGAAAGUACAAUACAGAUAACCAAAUGCCAGGUACACAGUGAGCUAUGUUGCACUACCGAUCAUUUUAUCACUUCUGGAAGUCAUAGUCUUACAUGGCUGAGGAGGAAAAGCUUUGUCUUUCAUGUAUGAAAAUAUUUUACCAGCAAAGUAAGUCCCACCAUCCUUUGCUGGGCAUACUCCCUGCUGUUCACAGGAAACAUUCACGCAUCUUUCAGUAGCUUACAGUGGUGUUUCAAAAGCUGUUCUGAGAAAGCAUUGUGUUGAUUCCCAGCUCAACAGAGGUGAUUCCAUAGCUUCUCAAGUCUUGUGGUGGUUCAACAACUUCUCCAGUCUCCCUGUGUUUCUAAGAGCACAGCUUUGUGGAGAAGCAGAUCUUCUGAACCACUAAUGCUGGUAUGAAGAAGCUCUACUAACUGUGGGUAAAGGAGAUUAGCUCAUUGCCACACAUCUGUAAAUGGUUUGCAGAUCACUUCCAAUUAUAAUUCUUGUGUUUCUUGGUUAGGAAAAAAAUAUGUUUGAAGAAGCUUCUAGGAAGUAAACGUUUCCCUGAGGAACAAUAUGAUAUCUCAAGGAAAACCUGCCUUAAGAUUAUUGGAGGGACUGAAUAAACACAGCAAGGCUGCAGUUAGACACAAAGCUGCAUCUUAGUCUGAAAAUCCUGGAGGUCUCCAGAUAAAUACACCACCUUAACAAUCCUGGUUUUGAAGAACUAUUGUAUGCUAUGGAAUAACAAGCCUGCUUUGGUUAUCCUGUGCUUUCAUGCAGUAUGGAAGAUAUCACAAAUCAUCUGUCCAGAUGCAGAAGUCUGUAUUUAUAAACUUCUGAUAAUGUCGGUUCACAUGAGCUCAGGUUCUGAAUGUCUUAAACUCUCUUCAUAUCUGGCAAAGUCAACGCUGUGAUUCAUCAUUCCACCCUGAUUUAGUAAUCUAAAACAGAUCAAUUAAGCUUCAGGCAGUGAGAAAUGUUUAGAAAGGACAGUAGAAUCUGAAAGACAGAUAAAGUAUAUCCCAUCCUGUAUUCUAGUGCAAUAAAGAUGUUUUGUUACACUAUGAAAAUCCAAUAUUAAUUGCAAAAGGAAAGGAGUGCUUAUAAUAUACAUUACCUUAACUGGAAUAUGUUUGCUUUAUGCUGAAACUUAUUACUAUUUUUAUUUCUAGCAAUUUUUUUUUUUUUUGGCACUUAAGUAAACUUAGAAUGAAGAAAUUUUAAAGCAAUGGUUCCGACAGCCAAAAUGAAAGCAGAAAUAAAAGGUUUUGGAGAGAAUAUAGAGAGGACUAGCAAGUAUGAUUAAGGGGGACAGAGAAACUUAUUUAUGAAGAAAGAUUAAAGGAGUAAAAUAUGUGUAUGUACAUUGGAGAUUAACUAAGUGGCUCAUAAGAAGCAUAACUAUCUUCAAGUAUUUGAUGCAUGUAAACACCAAGAAUGGAGAGGAAAUGAUUAUUUGGAUGCACUUAAAUGGGGAAAGAUUCUGACUUUAAAGUCUGAUACUGUUUUGCUUCAAUGUUGCCAGGAAAGAUCUAUAUGCUGAAAGAGGACGACACUGGAAAGGGAAAAAUUUAUACACUGGAAGAAGCAUGAAGCCAAAAGGAUUUCAGAAAUUAUUCAAAAAACACUAUAAAUUUUAAUACCAAAUAAGAGUUAUGUAAACUUUUGAACCAGCCUAUAAAACUCAAUAGAACAGUAUGACAGCACUAAACGGGUAAUGGAUUCAAUUUCUUGUUAAAGUUUUCUUUUCCCACAAGAAAAUAAAAUGCACCAUUUUGAAAGAUCCUGGAAGAUGAAGUGAUCAGCUGGUUGACCUAAGAUGACAAACUAGUUCCUUUCCACGUAUGAUUUUGAUGCUCUGCAAAUAUCCUAGUAAAUGCUGGCCCCAGAAAGUGGUUCACUCAGUCUGUUACACACUUUGACAGGUUAUAUAGCAGUUAAUAAUUAAGUGAAAGGAAGUUCUGUAUAAAAAAAUCUGCCAUCAUAUACGAAAUAUGUAUGUUCCAACUCUCUAUGUAGAGUCCACUGGUGUGGCUAUAAGUGGUAUCUUUGCUGACCAAUAGCACUGCUGGCAAACUAUCAGGUAAUUGUAAGUAUGUAUUUACCAGAGAAAAAAAGACCGGUUUACGUGCUUCUGUUUGUGAGACACAGUUGUGGCUGUACUGCUCUGCUGUGCUGAGCCCAGAUCCUCUAUCUUGCUGUAGGAUAAGCCUGGUUCUACCUAUAUCUAGGCAGAAAUUUGUUUAAAAGAGUCACAUGAAGAAUCCAUGUUCUUUAGUCAUUUAUAUAGUUUGUCAGAACAAGAUUUAAAUAUUGUCAGUCAUCUUGAAUUAUAACUAGUUUACAGCUUGUGCUCUGAACCCAUCCAUCCUUUUGAUCUUUUUACCUUAAGAAUGCAACUAUGUGGGAAAUAACUUUAAAGUGAAUGAUACACAUCUGACAGACUUUAAGGAAAAAUAAGUAAGAAUUCAGAAACAUUCCAUGUAAAGAAAAAAAAAUGUACCUUUUUAGAAAUGAACUGUUGUGCUCAUUCAUUGCAGAAUUUAAGUAAGAGUAAUGUUUUACCUCCUUCUUAGCAGCAAAGAAGCAACAUCAGAUGAGGGAGACGUAUCUGCACAUUUUUACAUCUCACAAAUAAUCAGCAGGUUAGAGACAAUAAAACAACUUACCUAAAAUAGAAUACUGGAAGGUUUAAGGUGUCUAUGUUGAAACUGUUACUGCGUUCAGUGCCUGCCCAACCAGAGUGUCAUUUAAACAUAACUGUCUUCCAUGUUUGCUCUGAAUCUUUUUGAGAUCACACAGUAUUCUGUUUCUGACCAUUCGCAGAAGGGCUCAGGGUGAAGCGGGCAUGUACCUCUGUCUGACUUAAACAGUCUGGGAAUCCAGAAGAUAAAUGGUAGUGUUAGCUUAUAGCACAGACCUGGAAAGUGCACUCAGACAAACGUAGUAUAUGCCAAUAAAACUGGAAACCUUUCAGAAGGAGACAACUUUUUACAUCUGCUUUGACCUCAGGUAUUUUAAACUCUAAUUUCUGAGGAGGCACACCUUACCCACUGGGUCCCAGGCUAGUCUACAUAGCUGUACAGAUGUGCACUACAACUGCAAAACUCAUUAAGAUUCAAGGAGAUAAAUGAGGAAGGAAACAAUUUUUAUGGAGCAAGCAGGAUUCUGGCCUUUGUCUUUGCCCCACACAGUUUGUAUGUCUAUUUUUCAGUAAAUAGUAGAACUAAGAAUAAUCCUAUGUUCCAUUAUUAACAUCUCAUCUUCAACAGUGGUUAUGUUUUUUUAAAAAAACGGAGCCUUUGAAACAAAAAUUGAAUUACCUUGAUGGUCUGUGGACACUGAGUGGAUGGAAAUAACCACAGUCUUCCACUGUGACAGAGUGCCUCAACUACAUAGGUUGGCAUUAUCUGACUUUCAAAAUUAUGAGUUAGAUUCUAGAUAACUCCAUAAUGUUUCUACUUUGUUAGUCCUCUCACAUAACAUCAUCUGUUCUCUGUAGGUAACAGCUCUCUAAUCUUGGCUUUGGAUUCUACUUUGUGGGCUAGAUGUCUGAAACCAUUGUGAGGGUCUGUGAGCACCUCUACACCUUUCUGGAACAUCCUGUGGGGAACAAGAGUUCUAAUUGAAGCACUUAAGACGUGCUCAGCACUUUUGCUUUAACUACUUUUGUCAUUUGUCUUUCUGGCAUCUCUAGAGUUCAUUGAAAUUUCUCUUGUAAUUCCUGAAAGUUUAAUUUGGACCUCAGUCUCCCCAAGGAAAUAUUGCUAAAGGUCAGAAGUAGGCUUAAAUCAUAAAGUUUCCAGGAGAGGGAAUCUAGGAAUUUCUCUCAGUUCCAUCUUUAACACUGUAGUAGAAGCCAGUGACAACAGGGCUUUGUAUUCCAGAUAUCAGACUGAGAAUGUGGUCUUGGCAUGUUGAAUAAUGUAAUUUGUGUACAUAUAAGCAAAGAAAAUAUUGAUAGUGAAAUAAUUAUGAAUAUAUAAAUGUGAGACAGUAGGAAGCCAUGUUUAAAGGCAUUUUUCAGUUUAUAACCACACUUUUAAGAAUUUCCUGUCUUUUCUUUUAGCCAGACACAUGGGAUUAUUUUAGCGUACUUUUAUUUGUGUGUUGUUUCCUUUACAUUUUUGUUUGAGCAGAAGAGGAUGGGAAUAAAAAUGCAGUCUUCAACAAAGUUUUACAAAGUUUAUGAUUCUAGGCUGUAGUAAUUCCCCUAUGUACACUUAAAACAAUAAUAAAAAUGCAAGCACCAUAUUUUGAAAAGUUAUUAUGACUUAUUAUGUAAACAGAUGAUGAUAAAACAUUCUGAGUUAUUAUUCAAACACAAUACAUCAUAAUUGUUUCUUUGGAGACACUAUAUAUUUCUGUCAUGGGCUUUACUUACAGGAUUCUUUGUAAAACCUUCAUAAAGGUAAUUACUUUGUAUUCCCAUCAUCACAUUUCAAAAAUAGUGAUCUCAGCCUCUGAACAUGUAAACUCUGAAACAAAAGAAGAGUCCUAUUGUCUUCUUGUGUAAACAAAGCUUGUUUACAAGGUUGGGCCUUCCAACACUAAGCCUUACUCUCAAUACACAUGAUUAUACAGGUUUUCUAGAUAUAAAUGUGAACUCACAGAUGGUGGUUUCAGGCCACUUAAUCUUAAUAAGCUAGUUUAUUUGAUGAAAAACUUAGGAGCUGACUUUGUAUUUUUAACAUAUUUAUGGGAAAUGGAGAAUGAGUAUCUGAAGUUGAUAACUUCCCUUUGCAAAUUCUGGUUGAUACACAGGGCUUAACAAAUAUAGGUAGUAUCUUAUUCCACACUGAAUGGAAUAAAAAAUCACUUGUCUUUUGUUAAUAUAAAGUUCAUAAUUAAAUUAUUCUUGAAAUACUGUCAGACAUUUCAGCAAAAGAACAAAAAACAAAAGUUCUAUUUAGUGUGGAUUGGUGUUGUGAUAUACUUAAUAUCUACUUCAACAUUGAAUUAAAAGAUUCAGAAAUCUAUCAUAAUAUGCUUCAAAAAAAGAUCAAAGACAAUGAAUAAAGUUGGCAGAAUAUGUUUGCUUUUACAUGGAAAUUACUGAAAUAAAAGAUUAAAAUAUGUAUUGAUAUUUACUAGCACUAUUUUCCACUGAAGUAAAUGGGUAAACUCUUGGGCUUGAUAUUUCUAAGCCCUUGCUGGUUUGAUACUCCAUGUCUUCUUACUUGCAUUGAUACAAAUAUAGGAAGUACCUAUAGAUUGCAUAAAUGUUGAUCAUAAGUGUUGUUUCAGGAUGAAAUGUAUUGUCUGUUUCUGUGAAGCUAAUGGCUUUUUGGUCACACAGCUUAAAGUGAUGUGAAGAUUGUCAUGUUUGUCAUGAAGAUUGUCAAGUUUGUCAUUACUUCUGAACUCCCAAAAUAAAUUGAAAUAAAUAAAGGUUUUUCUUCUAAAUCAGAGGAUGGUUCUUACUUAUUUAGUAUGAUGAUCUGUAAAAUGUCAUCAAAUGCACUGUAAAGAGAGGGAAUUGAUGGCAAAUCCUUACUAAGAUGUUGCAAAGUAAGUAGGAGGGAAGGAUCCUUGUGUUUAGAAGGACAGUUUUUUAUUUACACGCACACGUAUAUGUUUUGAGGUUACUAAAGAACACCCAGCUAUAUCUUCAACUUCAGUUAGCAGGAGUUUCUAUUACAUUUUAACACAGGAUGGGUGAGAAAAUGUUUCAUUUUAUACGCAUGUGUAUACACACAGACAUUCCAAAAGACACAAACCAUUUCAGAAAUGACAGUUUCCUCGCUGUCCAAUUAGGUGAAUUGAAUGUGAUUAUGUUGUAGUUCUCAGGGCUCUAAUUGCACAUAAAAACUUCCAAAUCACAACACGUGGUAUUUCCAUCCAAAACAAAGGGAGAAUUAUUAAAAUGUGGUGGGAUUUCAUGUAACACUGGCAGACAGCUUAGAUGGCAAUAAUUUAACACUUGCACCAUGAAAUUAAAAUUUACGUUCACUCUGUGCAAUUCUUCAGACCAGCAGCAGACAGUUGUAUUUUUUUUAAUGAGAGCAGGGAGAUUUAAUUACUUGAAUUUAACUAGAAAAACCUUUCCAUUGCUUGAUGACAGAGGCAAUAAUAUUGGCACAGAUUUGCAGAUGCUUUUUGAGCCUGCUUUCCAUAUUCUCCAUAGCUCUGCUUUGCAGCAUCCAUGUUUCUGAAGGCCAUGAACAACCACAUAGAUUCUUCCACAGAUUCGGAGCAAUGCAUGCAAAUUCCAGCUGCCCAUAAAUCAUUGUCUGAAAACAAUGAUCUCAUCAAGUAAUAGUCCUCCGUUGAUUCAAGGAAAAUUCUGUUGCAAUUGUGUCCUGCAGAAGUGGUAAGGGAGACAGUCCAGAAAAAUUCAGAUCCAGGAGUGAAGAUCACCACCAAAAAGAACCCUCUAGGUAUUCCUUCAGACAUGACUAUCUGCAGUAUUGCUUCAUAGUUUUCAAGUUUUACCUUAUUUACAUUACCAUUUGCAAUGGAUUUUUUUUUCUUUUUUAGCAUUACUUUUUGCUCAAACUCCUCCUUCAUGACCCCUUUUCUCUCCUACAUGUUACUUGAUUUUAUAUGGCUCUUACACAGCUGUAACAAAAGAGAGUUGAUAUUUAAAUACUUUUGGAAAGCAUGUCAUUUUCCUAUCCAUCUGCUACUUCCCAGUGGGCCUGCUAAGCUGCCUUCCUGACUUACAGAGGCUAGUGUUAGACCUCUGGAAGAAUCAGCUUCCAACAGCAUGGUUUCCUAUGGAAACCUGACUUCCCAAAGGAAAUGAGGAGAGCACAGAUGAGGUGGAAAAACUACCUUAUUUUCUGCUGGAGUGGCUCAGAGUAGUGAAAAGCCUUGCUGGUAAGGCACUUUGUAAGCUCAGAACUGCCAUAUUGCUGACUGUUCCCGAUUGCAUUCUAUAGCUGGAAACCUAUUCUGCUCUCCAAAUGCAUCUGCAGGAGCAGCCUGCUCUGAGAAAACACAUAGAAUCAUAGAAUCCUUAGAGUUUGAUGGGACCUUUAAAGGCCAGCUAGUCCAACUCCCCUGCAAUAAAGAGGGACAUAUACAACUAUAUCAGGGUGCUCAGGGCCUGGUCCAGCCUAACCUUGAAUGUCUCCAGGAACAGGGCAUCCACCACCUCUCUGGGCAAGCUGUUUCAGUGCUUCACUGUCCUUACUACAGCAAACUUCUAGCUAUUCUAUAAAACUUAUAUUUAGUCUUAUAUCCUGCCUUAAUCUCCCCUCUUUCAGUUUGAAACCAUUUCCCCUUGUCCUGUCAUAGCAGACCCUGCAAAAGAGUCUCUCCCCUUCUUACAGCCUCUCUUUACUGAAAGGCUGUUCUCACAUUGCUCCAGAGACUUUUCCAGGCUGAACAGCCCCAGCUCUCUUAGCAUGUCCUCAUAAGGGAGGUGUUCCAUCCUUUGAAUCAUUUCUGUGGCAUUCCCCUGGAUGUACUUCGACAGGUCUGGAGCAUAUGUGUACCUGGUAACAAUGCAGCAGCCUGUUUUUGGAUGGAUCUUGUGUACUUGUGAAGACAGCUAGAGCAGAGCUUUGUUGCUGAUUCAGCCCCUGAAGUGACAAAAUAGAAUCUCCACAGCAGGUCCCUGCCUGUCACCUCAUUCUCCCACCCAAUUGGGACUGCUAGUGGGUACUGAAAUUUUCGUCUGCUGUUUCUGGAACAGAAACUGGCUUUUAGGCUGGUGUUUAAUGACAAUAAGUCUUUGCUCCAGCUUCUUCAGUCUGUUCUUUAACUUGUCUUGGGGAAUAAAGUCAUAUUUCCAAAGGAGAUUUGCUUUGCAGACUUAUAGCCAGAAAUUAGUCAGGGAUCAAAGACCUUUAGAGCAUAAGGGAAC
Molecule: long non-coding RNA, 11145 nt
Filed under: Gallus gallus (chicken)
Lineage: Eukaryota; Metazoa; Chordata; Aves; Galliformes; Phasianidae
Source: RNAcentral